CAGCAGCAGCCACGGGAAUACGUAGGGUGCGAGCGUUAAUCGGAAUUACUGGGCGUAAAGCGUGCGCAGGCGGUUAUAUAAGACAGAUGUGAAAUCCCCGGGCUCAACCUGGGACCUGCAUUUGUGACUGUAUAGCUAGAGUACGGUAGAGGGGGAUGGAAUUCCGCGUGUAGCAGUGAAAUGCGUAGAUAUGCGGAGGAACACCGAUGGCGAAGGCAAUCCCCUGGACCUGUACUGACGCUCAUGCACGAAAGCGUGGGGAGCAAACAGGAUUAGAUACCCGUGUAGUCCCUGUCUCUUAUAC
This 304-nucleotide ribosomal RNA is filed under the name uncultured bacterium. RNAcentral's name for it is "partial 16S ribosomal RNA". It matches the Rfam family "Bacterial small subunit ribosomal RNA", at positions 506 to 807 of the family's 1533-position model. The record is from RNAcentral.